GGGUUGUGAGGUUAAGCGACUAAGCGUACACGGUGGAUGCCCCGGCAGUCAGAGGCGAUGAAGGACGUGCUAAUCUGCGAAAAGCGUCGGUAAGGUGAUAUGAACCGUUAUAGCCGGCGAUGUCCGAAUGGGGAAACCCAGUGCAAUUCGUUGCACUAUCGUUAACUGAAUACAUAGGUUAACGAGGCGAACCGGGGGAACUGAAACAUCUAAGUACCCCGAGGAAAAGAAAUCAACCGAGAUUCCCCCAGUAGCGGCGAGCGAACGGGGAGCAGCCCAGAGUCUGAAUCAGCUUGUGUGUUAGUGGAACGGUCUGGAAAGUCCGACGGUACAGGGUGAUAGUCCCGUACACCAAAAUGCACAGGCUGUGAACUCGAAGAGUAGGGCGGGACACGUGGUAUCCUGUCUGAAUAUGGGGGGACCAUCCUCCAAGGCUAAAUACUCCUGACUGACCGAUAGUGAACCAGUACCGUGAGGGAAAGGCGAAAAGAACCCCGGCGAGGGGAGUGAAAAAGAACCUGAAACCGUGUACGUACAAGCAGUGGGAGCACCUUCGGGUGUGACUGCGUACCUUUUGUAUAAUGGGUCAGCGACUUAUAUUCUGUAGCAAGGUUAACCGUAUAGGGGAGCCGCAGGGAAACCGAGUCUUAACUGGGCGUUAAGUUGCAGGGUAUAGACCCGAAACCCGGUGAUCUAGCCAUGGGCAGGUUGAAGGUUGGGUAACACUAACUGGAGGACCGAACCGACUAAUGUUGAAAAAUUAGCGGAUGACUUGUGGCUGGGGGUGAAAGGCCAAUCAAACCGGGAGAUAGCUGGUUCUCCCCGAAAGCUAUUUAGGUAGCGCCUCGUGAAUUCAUCUUCGGGGGUAGAGCACUGUUUCGGCUAGGGGGUCAUCCCGACUUACCAACCCGAUGCAAACUACGAAUACCGAAGAAUGUUAUCACGGGAGACACACGGCGGGUGCUAACGUCCGUCGUGAAGAGGGAAACAACCCAGACCGCCAGCUAAGGUCCCAAAGUCAUGGUUAAGUGGGAAACGAUGUGGGAAGGCACAGACAGCCGGGAUGUUGGCUUAGAAGCAGCCAUCAUUUAAAGAAAGCGUAAUAGCUCACUGGUCGAGUCGGCCUGCGCGGAAGAUGUAACGGGGCUAAACCAUGCACCGAAGCUGCGGCAGCGACACUAUGUGUUGUUGGGUAGGGGAGCGUUCUGUAAGCCUGCGAAGGUGUGCUGUGAGGCAUGCUGGAGGUAUCAGAAGUGCGAAUGCUGACAUAAGUAACGAUAAAGCGGGUGAAAAGCCCGCUCGCCGGAAGACCAAGGGUUCCUGUCCAACGUUAAUCGGGGCAGGGUGAGUCGACCCCUAAGGCGAGGCCGAAAGGCGUAGUCGAUGGGAAACAGGUUAAUAUUCCUGUACUUGGUGUUACUGCGAAGGGGGGACGGAGAAGGCUAUGUUAGCCGGGCGACGGUUGUCCCGGUUUAAGCAUGUAGGCUGAUUGUCCGGCAAAUCCGGAUAAUCAAGGCUGAGGUGUGAUGACGAGGCACUACGGUGCUGAAGUAACAAAUGCCCUGCUUCCGGGAAAAGCCUCUAAGCAUCAGGUAACAUUAAAUCGUACCCCAAACCGACACAGGUGGUCAGGUAGAGAAUACCAAGGCGCUUGAGAGAACUCGGGUGAAGGAACUAGGCAAAAUGGUGCCGUAACUUCGGGAGAAGGCACGCUGGUGUGUAGGUGAAGCCCCUGCGGGUGGAGCUGAGACCAGUCGAAGAUACCAGCUGGCUGCAACUGUUUAUUAAAAACACAGCACUGUGCAAACACGAAAGUGGACGUAUACGGUGUGACGCCUGCCCGGUGCCGGAAGGUUAAUUGAUGGGGUUAUCCGUAAGGAGAAGCUCUUGAUCGAAGCCCCGGUAAACGGCGGCCGUAACUAUAACGGUCCUAAGGUAGCGAAAUUCCUUGUCGGGUAAGUUCCGACCUGCACGAAUGGCGUAAUGAUGGCCGGCUGUCUCCACCCGAGACUCAGUGAAAUUGAACUCGCUGUGAAGAUGCAGUGUACCCGCGGCAAGACGGAAAGACCCCGUGAACCUUUACUAUAGCUUGACACUGAACAUUGAGCCUUGAUGUGUAGGAUAGGUGGGAGGCUUUGAAGCGUGGACGCCAGUCUGCGUGGAGCCAACCUUGAAAUACCACCCUUUAAUGUUUGAUGUUCUAACGUUGGCCCCUGACCGGGGUUGCGGACAGUGUCUGGUGGGUAGUUUGACUGGGGCGGUCUCCUCCCAAAGCGUAACGGAGGAGCACGAAGGUUAGCUAAUCUCGGUCGGACAUCAGGAGGUUAGUGCAAUGGCAUAAGCUAGCUUGACUGCGAGCGUGACGGCGCGAGCAGGUGCGAAAGCAGGUCAUAGUGAUCCGGUGGUUCUGAAUGGAAGGGCCAUCGCUCAACGGAUAAAAGGUACUCCGGGGAUAACAGGCUGAUACCGCCCAAGAGUUCAUAUCGACGGCGGUGUUUGGCACCUCGAUGUCGGCUCAUCACAUCCUCGGGGCUGAAGUAGGUCCCAAGGGUAUGGCUGUUCGCCAUUUAAAGUGGUACGCGAGCUGGGUUUAGAACGUCGUGAGACAGUUCGGUCCCUAUCUGCCGUGGGCGCUGGAGAAUUGAGGGGGGCUGCUCCUAGUACGAGAGGACCGGAGUGGACGCAUCACUGGUGUUCGGGUUGUCAUGCCAAUGGCACUGCCCGGUAGCUAAAUGCGGAAGAGAUAAGUGCUGAAAGCAUCUAAGCACGAAACUUGCCCCGAGAUGAGUUCUCCCUGAGACUUUAAGUCUCCUGAAGGAACGUUAAAGACGAUGACGUUGAUAGGCCGGGUGUGUAAGCGCAGCGAUGCGUUGAGCUAACCGGUACUAAUGAACCGUGAGGCUUAACCUUACAACGCCGAAG
Molecule: ribosomal RNA, 2922 nt
Filed under: Klebsiella pneumoniae
Lineage: Bacteria; Pseudomonadati; Pseudomonadota; Gammaproteobacteria; Enterobacterales; Enterobacteriaceae
Description: 23S ribosomal RNA
Rfam family: Bacterial large subunit ribosomal RNA
Source: RNAcentral